GCCAACGUUCAUAUCACGUUGAAUACACCAGUUCUCGUCCGAUCUCUGAAGUUAAGCAACGUUGAGCGUGGAUAGUACUUGGAUGGGUGACCGCUUGGGAACACCACGUAACGUUGGCG
RNAcentral lists this ribosomal RNA (119 nucleotides) under Diaphorina citri (Asian citrus psyllid). The record is from RNAcentral. Lineage: Eukaryota; Metazoa; Arthropoda; Insecta; Hemiptera; Psyllidae.